CUGGUUCGUCAGGCCAACAAAUGUCUGUACUUCUUACCAAAGAAAUUUUGGAUCUCUGCUUUCUCACUUACAAACAGCUGGUAUGAAGAGGACGGUAUAUUGAAUGCAGAUGAGAAUACUUUGGAGACCAGCCAAAAUGUUGGAGAAGGAAAGUCAUCAUCGAAGUUUCCAGACCUCAGAGAGGAGACAAAUCACAUCCCUGAGGACCCCAGCAAGUACCUUACAGGGACAGGCAGCACCCAGGUGGAAAAUUCUGGCCUUGUCAAGGGGGGUGAUUUUAUUAAGAAAGAGGAACCCAAACCUCUCCAGCCUUCCUUUAUUGUCAAAAAGAAACCGAGAAAUAUGUGGUGUGAGGCAGGGAGGAGGGAAGAGACAGAAUCCAGAAUAACAUGGUGUUGGAAGGGACCUCUGGAGAUCAUCUCCUCCAACCCCCUGCCAGAGCAGGGUCACCCAGAGCAGGUCCCACAGGAACGUGUCCAGGUGGGUUUGAAUGUCUCCAGAGAAGGAGACUCCACCACCUCUCUGGGCAGCCUCUGCCAGGGCCCUGCCACCCUCACAGGAAAGAAGUUCCUCCUCAUGUUUAGAUGGAACUUCCCAUGUUCCAGUUUGUGCCCAUUUCCUCUUGUCCUGUCCCUGGGCACCCCUGAAAAAAGACCAGCCCCAUCCUCCUGACACCCACCCUUGAAGUAUUUAUAGGCAUUGAUCAGAUCCCCCCUUAGUCUUCUCCAGACCAGAAAGACCCAAGUCCCUCAGCCUUUCCUCCUGAGAGAGAUGCUCCAGGCCCCUCAUCAUCUUUGUAGCCCCCUGCUGUACCAGCAGUUGCCUGACCUUCUUGAACUGGGGAGCCCAGAACUGGACACAAUACUCCAGAUGAGAUCUGGUGGGGAUUAGGAAACUCCUGCUCUUUUUGCUGUACUUUCUGCUGUACUUUGUGGGGGACUUUGUACUUUUCCAACCCUCCUAAUCCCAAAGACCUGCAGCCAGCCUGCCCAGGCCAUCUCCUCCUCCUGCUGGUACCAGGGUGCUGGUGCUGAGGCUGUGGGGGGCUGCGAGCAUCCCCCUGCGAUGGCAGAGGGACAAAAAGGAGUUUCUCCAGACAUGAACCGAUGGCUUUUGUAAUGGUUGCUCAGUCCCACUGGGGCUUCACAGUGUUAUUAAUGGUGUCAGGCCAACCUGGAGCCCUGGGAAAGGUGCUAAAAGUGGGAGGAAUCACAGAAUCUUCUAGGUUGGAAGGGACCUUAAAGAUCAUCUUGUCCAACCGUCAACCCAACUGACAAAAAUAGACACCCACACAACAAACAAGGAGCAUCAUCACUAAACCAGACCUCCCAGCACUACAUCAACCCGUCUUUUGAACACCUCCAGGGAUGGGGCCUCAACCCCCUCCCUGGGCAGCCCAUUCCAAGGGCUGAGAACCCUUUCAGUGACAAAAUUUUUCCUAAUAUCCAGCCUGAACCUCCCCUGGCGCAACUUGAGGCCAUUUCCUCUUGAAAGGACUUGCUCUCCAGUGGGAUGCCAUCGUCCCAAGGAGGCCAGUCACUGUGAGGCAGGGGGGAACAGCCCUGAGCCCCUCGCACGGGGCAGCUCCCAUAGCAGAGCCCUCUCGCUCCCAGUGCCCUGUGUUGUUUGGAGCAGAGGGAAGUGGCUCCUUGUUUGGAUGGGAUUUGGUUGG
Molecule: long non-coding RNA, 1672 nt
Filed under: Calidris pugnax (ruff)
Lineage: Eukaryota; Metazoa; Chordata; Aves; Charadriiformes; Scolopacidae
Description: lncRNA (ENSCPUG00000006917.1)
Source: RNAcentral